This is a long non-coding RNA of Astatotilapia calliptera (eastern happy), 1658 nucleotides long. The record is from Ensembl. NCBI's taxonomy places the organism in Eukaryota, Metazoa, Chordata, Actinopteri, Cichliformes, Cichlidae.
GCCUGACUGCCAUUAGGUACUGAGAUGAAAUCCUCAGACCCCCCUGUGAGAUCAUAUGUUGGUGCGGGCAGCUCUGGUUUCCUCCUAAUGCAAGACAAUGCUGAACCUCAUGUGGCUGCAGUGUGUCAGCAUUUCCUGCAGGACGAAGGCAUUGAUGCUGUGGACUGGUCCAGCUGUUCCCCAGACCUGAUUCAACCCAGCACAUCUGGGACGUCAUGUCUCGCUCCGUCCACCAACUGCACCACAGACUGUCCAGGAGUUGGCAGAUGCUUCAGUCCAGGUCUGAGAGGAGGUCCCUCAGGAGACCAUCCACCACCUCAUCAGGAGCAUGUCCAGAUGCAGCUGCAGUCGGCUCAGCAGUGAGAACUGAAGACGUCAGUCAAAGAGAAGGAAAAACAGUCAGAGCUGAGAGGUACAGCUGCUCUUCUUUUAGUACAAACACCAUAAAUCUGUUGCUCACAAUCAAACUUUAUUGUAUGUUUAAGUUUGUGUCACUUUUCAAACCAUCGUUACGAGUGCUUCCCAGAGACGAUGAGUGAAAGAGCAAAGAGUAAAUUAUGAAUCAAACUACGGCCACACAGACUCAAGCGUCAUGUGGUGAAUAACUUCCAACAGCUGGAUGAAUAAGAUGAGUUAAAGUUUAUAUAUUAGUCUUUAACAAGGAUUUAAAAGACGACACUGAUGAGGCGAGCCAGAUUUCUUCAGGCAGGUCGUCCCAGGAUCGAGGAGUCCUCACAGCAAACAUUCAGUCGUCUUUAAGUGUGAGCUGGGAACAGUGAACAGGUUUGUGGCUGCAGCAUCUCAGGAUGUACACACUGACUGGGACACAAGCACCAGUUCCACUAAAUAUUCUGGUGCCAGUAACCUGUUAAGAUGGAGCAAUUUGAUGUUAUUUAAUCAGUUUAUUUUUCAUCCUGCAGUUAAAAUGUAUCAAAACAAGAUUGUGUGUCUGCAGAUGCUGUGUGAUCUGACACACCUGCACAAAAUGUGUCAAAGUUCAAUAAGUUACAUUAUUGUAACUGUGAUGCGUUCACUGACGUGUCCUGAUGCUUUGCUGUAUAUAAAGAGAACAGAGAGGCUCUGCUUUGUGCUUAUAUUCUCCUCCUGUGUGUUUGUGUGUGCAGAGUUUCUACCAGAGCCAAAUGUCAUCUACUCCUCACUGAAGUCGUCCACCAGUCCAACCACUGGGAUCCAGCUGCUGCUCUCUAACUGGUCCAUACAGCAGCUCCCUGAGACAUCCUGGAGACUCGGACAAUCGUUGUCAGAAAGGAAAUCACUCAAAUAAGUCAAUAACUAAUCAGAGACGUCUGAUUAUCAGACAGUUACAAGGUUGAUGGUAACACAUUUUAUAUCCUUGGACUAAACUCAGUCUGCAUCUACAGGAUGGCUCUUAUUUCAUUAUUACUGACUUUUUAUCACCAUUUUAACCUCUGCUUUAUAACUAAAGUGCUCAGCAGCAAGUUUUCAUAAAGUCAGACUAAAGUGAAAGGAGUCAAAUACAAUCUCUUUGUGUUUAUUUAAAGUUCACAGAGGAAUGAAUCACUGUUUAUGUGAUGUUUGAUGUCACAGCUGUCUGUGUCACUGUGAGAGACAAUGAACAUAAAAAUAAACAUUAUUUAAAAUCUGAAUAUUAACACACAUUUAUGGAUGGUUUGUCA